Molecule: transfer RNA, 72 nt
Filed under: Bos taurus (domestic cattle)
Lineage: Eukaryota; Metazoa; Chordata; Mammalia; Artiodactyla; Bovidae
Also listed under: 2 other names
Rfam family: tRNA
About the family: Transfer RNA (tRNA) molecules are approximately 80 nucleotides in length.
Source: Rfam by way of RNAcentral
UCCCUGGUGGCUCAGACGAUAAAGCGUCUAUCUGUAAUACAGGAGACCCAGGUUCAAACCCUGGCUGGAGGA